This 1022-nucleotide long non-coding RNA is filed under the name Mustela putorius furo (domestic ferret). RNAcentral describes it as "lncRNA (ENSMPUG00000024629.1)". Lineage: Eukaryota; Metazoa; Chordata; Mammalia; Carnivora; Mustelidae. The record is from RNAcentral.
GCCUCCGCGACUCCCGGGUCCCCUCGUCCUGGACGCCAGCCCGGGCGCAGCAGGUGAGCAGACGUCACCGGAGAGUCCUGGGCACGUCCUCCUCCCCGCCCAAGUCAAGUUCAGCAGCCAGGAAAUCAGAACUUAACUACAUAAAGCAAACAAACAAAACCAAAACAAAUCCAUUCUGACAGAACUUUCCCGAUAAAGGACAUUUCCUAAUAUUCCAAGCAGAGUGUUAUGAAAGCCUCUUCUGGACCAAAGGAGAACGGGCUGGAAGUCCCGCUGGACCUUAGUCACGGAGGGAUAUUUGCUAAGCACCUACUAUGUCUAAGUAAUGGGAGGCAAGGAAGAAUCAGAAAUGAAUCCUAUCAUCCUGGAGGAGAGGUAAGAUACACAUCAUGAAUAAAUCACAUGCAUCGUUUAAAGUGGUAGGGGUCAUAAGCCAGAAAAGGACAGGAGAAGAGUUCACAGAGAAAAGGUAAUUUAUCCGGGUUACUUCUUUCUUAGUGAAGGUCUGAAAUUAGGAAACAUGGUAACAGUUCAAUCAUGGCAACCUUUAAAUCUAUUCUGUAAUGUAGUGCCAUGUGGGCUUAAUGUUUAUUGUUAUUGUUAUUGGCGGUAAUGACACUGUAAUUCAUUGUCGUUGUAAUUAUGGACACAUCACAACACCCCUCUCUCUGAGGCAGGUAUUAUAAAACUCUGGAACUCGAUUUCAGGCCUUGUCAGGAGUCGGGUAUGGUUGAGAACUUCCAGAAAUCAGGGAUGUGCCUCUUAUAAGAAGAGGCAGAGCAGUGCAGGGGUGAAACAAACAGGCUCUAAACCAGAGGGCAAUUCAAAACCAGCCUUCAGAGGCUGACUCUCAGGCUUGCCUGCUGUGAGGCCAUGGGCAAAUCACUUGAACUCCCUGUGUGUGUUACCCCAUCUGUUCAUUUGAGGUGAUAACAGUACUGGCUUCAUAGGGUUAUGUGACAAUUAGAUGCAUGUAAUGCAUUCACAACAGUGCCCAACAGACAGUAUAUACUCAGUGAUGC